Molecule: ribosomal RNA, 253 nt
Filed under: uncultured bacterium
Lineage: Bacteria
Description: partial 16S ribosomal RNA
Rfam family: Bacterial small subunit ribosomal RNA
Source: RNAcentral
UACGGGGGGGGCAAGCGUUGUUCGGAAUUACUGGGCGUAAAGGGCUCGUAGGCGGCCAACUAAGUCAGACGUGAAAUCCCUCGGCUUAACCGGGGAACUGCGUCUGAUACUGGAUGGCUUGAGUUUGGGAGAGGGAUGCGGAAUUCCAGGUGUAGCGGUGAAAUGCGUAGAUAUGCGGAGGAACACCAAUGGCGAAGGCAAUCUCCUGGACCUGCACUGACGCUCAUGCACGAAAGCGUGGGGAGCAAACAGG